AUGGGAUUGAGAUUAUUUCACAUCGUGACAUCUAUAAUACUGAGGAUGGGACUACCUCCAUCGUGGGUCAGACUGCUGCUUUCAUUAUUGACAAUUCUACUGCCCUUGAGAAUGUUUACCGGCUUAAUGUUGGAGGCAAUGUGAUCUCACCAUCAGCUGAUACUGGUAUGUUUAGGUCAUGGAGUGACGACUCACAGUAUAUCUUUGGAGCAGCCAACGGGGUUACAGAUACUGCAGAUGAUGAAAAUGUCACAGUAAGCUAUCCUGAAGGAACGCCAUCUGACAUUGCCCCGCUUGAUGUCUAUAAGACAGCCAGGUCAAUGGGUCCAACUGCUCAGAUUAACCUGCAAUUCAAUUUGACUUGGGUUUUUUCAGUUGAUUCUGGAUUCUCUUAUCUUGUUAGGCUCCAUUUCUGUGAAAUCACUAUGAAUAUCACAAAAGUCAACCAAAGAGUGUUUGCCAUCUAUAUGAAUAAUCAGACUGCGGAACCUGCAGCAGAUGUCAUUGCUUGGGCUGGAAGCAAUGGGGUUCCUUUCCACAAGGAUUACGUGGUCUCUGUCCGUUCUGGGGCUCCACAGCAGGAUCUUUGGCUUGCCCUCCAUCCAAACGUUGCUUCAAAAUCCAAUUGGUAUGAUGCAAUUUUGAAUGGAGUAGAGAUUUUUAAAGUGAACGACACCAACGGAAACACAGCAGGAUCUUUGGCUUGCCCUCCAUCCCAAUGUUGCUUCAAAAUCCAAUUGGUAUGAUGCAAUUUUGAAUGGAGUAGAGAUUUUUAAAGUGAAUGACACCAACGGAAACCUCGCAGGGCGUAAUCCUAUUCCGGUGCCAGAACCAGAUCAUAUUGACCCUCUGCUGUCCAAAAAAGGUCAAUCAAAAAGUAAUAAAUCAGCUAUUAGUGGAGGUGUUGGAGGUGGAAUUGCUGCCGUAAUUCUUAUCGGUUUGGUUGUAUGCCUUGUCACCCGCCGCCGGAAACAUGGGAAGGUCCAAAGUCCAAGUGAUGGACCCUCAGGCUGGCUCCCUCUAUCUUUAUAUGGAAAUUCACAUACUUCUGGUUCUGCUAAGACAAACACUACAGGCAGUUAUGCUUCCUCCCUCCCAUCAAACCUUUGUCGUCACUUUUCAUUUGCUGAGAUCAAGGCAGCCACUAAUAACUUUGAUGAAUCUCUGCUUCUUGGGGUGGGUGGUUUUGGCAAAGUAUACAAGGGAGAAAUUGAUGGUGGCACAAAAGUUGCUAUCAAACGUGGGAAUCCUCUCUCUGAGCAAGGUGUUCAUGAAUUUCAAACUGAAAUUGAAAUGCUCUCUAAACUUCGCCAUCGGCACAUCAAACGUGGAAAUCCUCUCUCUGAGCAAGGUGUUCAUGAAUUUCAAACUGAAAUUGAAAUGCUCUCUAAACUUCGGCAUCGGCACCUUGUUUCUUUGAUUGGUUAUUGCGAGGAGAACUGUGAGAUGAUCCUUGUAUAUGACUACAUGGCUCAUGGUACCCUUCGUGAGCAUCUCUACAAGACCCAGAAGCCUCCUUUACCUUGGAAGCAGAGGCUUGAUAUUGGCAUUGGUGCUGCUCGUGGAUUACACUAUCUUCAUACUGGUGCCAAGCAUAAUAUUAUCCACCGUGAUGUGAAGACCACUAAUAUCCUCUUGGAUGAGAAGUGGGUGGCAAAGGUUUCUGAUUUCGGGUUGUCUAAGACAGGUCCUACAUUGGAUCACACCCAUGUCAGCACCGUGGUGAAGGGCAGUUUUGGAUAUCUGGAUCCAGAAUACUUCAGAAGGCAGCAACUCACAGACAAAUCUGAUGUCUACUCAUUUGGUGUAGUGCUGUUUGAGCUUUUGUGUGCUCGGCCAGCAUUGAACCCAACUCUUCCCAAGGAGCAAGUGAGCUUAGCUGAGUGGGCAUUCCAUUGCUACAAGAAAGGCACUUUUGACCAGAUAAUUGAUCCAUAUCUGAAAGGGAAGAUUGCACCAGAAUGCUUGAAGAAAUUUACAGAGACAGCAGUGAAGUGUGUGUCUGAUGUUGGGGUCGAUAGGCCCUCAAUGGGAGAUGUGCUUUGGAACCUUGAAUUUGCUCUGCAACUUCAGGAGAGUGCAGAAGAAUGUGGAAAAGGUUUUGGAAAGAUGGACAUUGAAGAAGGCUUUGAUGUCACAUGCAAAGGAAAGAAGGAUUUAAAUGAAUCCGCAGGUUUUGAUGCGAGCAUGACUGAUUCAAGAAGCAGUGGCAUAUCCAUGAGCAUUGGUGGCCGCAGCCUUGCCAGUGAUGAUUCAGACGGGUUAACACCUAGUGCUGUUUUCUCUCAAAUCAUGAAUCCAAAAGGACGCUAAGAUCUCACAUCUUUGUCGACAGGCCUUCAAUGGGGGAUGUGCUUUGGAACCUUGAAUUCGCUCUGCAACUUCAGGAGAGUGCAGAAGAAUGUGGCAAAGGUUUUGGAAAGAUGGACAUUGAAGAAGGCUUUGAUGUCACAUGCAAAGGAAAGAAGGAUUUAAAUGAAUCUGCAGGUUUUGAUGCGAGCAUGACUGAUUC
Molecule: long non-coding RNA, 2512 nt
Filed under: Nicotiana benthamiana
Lineage: Eukaryota; Viridiplantae; Streptophyta; Magnoliopsida; Solanales; Solanaceae
Description: long non-coding RNA (NBEN_LNC016040)
Source: RNAcentral